RNAcentral lists this ribosomal RNA (206 nucleotides) under Colletotrichum gloeosporioides. RNAcentral describes it as "partial 28S ribosomal RNA". The record is from RNAcentral. RNAcentral also lists the same sequence under 1 other name. Lineage: Eukaryota; Fungi; Ascomycota; Sordariomycetes; Glomerellales; Glomerellaceae.
AAAAGGGAAGCGCUUGUGACCAGACUUGCGUCCGGUGAAUCACCCAGCUCUCGCGGCUGGGGCACUUCGCCGGCUCAGGCCAGCAUCAGCUCGCUGUCGGGGACAAAAGCUUCAGGAACGUAGCUCUCUUCGGGGAGUGUUAUAGCCUGUUGCAUAAUACCCUUCGGCGGGCUGAGGUACGCGCUCCGCAAGGAUGCUGGCAUAAU